GGGUUUGUUGUUGGAGAUUUUUUACUUUAAUUAUUUUAUUCUUCUUCGAUUUAUUUGCCUUCUAAAUUUGAGUUAUUAUGAUUUAGUGGUUUUGGCUUAACUACCAUGGUGGAGACGGGGUAGGUUCCAUCAUGAAUCUUGGAAUUUGGUUCGUGAUAUCUAGCACUACUAGAUCUAAUUCUUAUGCUCUUGACCUUAUCGAUAAGUUUGGUCGUAUUAUUUUUAGGGAAAAUAGUUUGAUGACCACUUUGGGCGUAGCCCUAGAAUAGUUGUGUGUGGAUCUGGUUUCGCUUGCCUCACAUUAUUGGUUGAUGUGUUUUAUCGGGGUGGGGGGUGGGGGAAUAGUCAAUAUGAAUAGAAGUGAAGUGCCAGAUUUGGUCUUGGAUGCCAAAGUCUACACGAUUAAAGUCAUUACCAACUUGAUAAAGUAGGUAAUCACGCUGGAAGGUGAGGCAGAAGCCAUAAAAAACCAUCAGAUAGAAUCCUAACUUAUACGAAAAGUGUUAGAAACCAUCUUGUUUGAAACAAAGUUAGACCUGUAUACAUCACGAGUACUAAGGGAGAAGGUCGUGAUUGGAUUCACUAAGAUACAUACUUGCCUAGACCAAAGUUCAGGUCCUGGGAGCUUGACUAAGUUGCCUUUAUGAUAUCACCAGAGCUAGUGAGUAUUUCCCUUUAUCGCAUCUAUUGGGGAAUCUUGGAACCCAGAUCUAAGACAGAAGGAGAUGGAAAAAGACGCAUAGGUUCCAAUGCUAAGUGAUUGUAAUAAAGUCUCAUGGAAGUAUCGAAAGAAGGGAAGCUAGAUCUAGCUGUAUUGCACCAUAUCUGUGGGAAAAAUGUAAAUAUGAUCAUUAUAGAAGAAGAAAUUGAAGGUUUGACCCUGUUGUUGAAAAAGGAAUCCAAGAUCUCAAUCAAUUUAUUGAAAACACUAAUCUUGAGAGAGAUUUUAUGACCAUCAUUGGUGAGACUCGACUUAUACAGGCAUCUGAUAUACCCACACCUUAAUAAAUUCCCUCAAAAUCGCAAAUGACAACGU
Molecule: long non-coding RNA, 1036 nt
Filed under: Capsicum annuum
Lineage: Eukaryota; Viridiplantae; Streptophyta; Magnoliopsida; Solanales; Solanaceae
Description: long non-coding RNA (CANN_LNC012763)
Source: RNAcentral